AAUCUACCUCCGAGUGGGGAAUAACUGAGAGAAAUCUUAGCUAAUACCGCAUAAUACCCACGGGUCAAAGCAGCAAUGCGCUUGGAGAGGAGUUCGCGGCCGAUUAGCUAGUUGGCGGGGUAAUGGCCCACCAAGGCGAUGAUCGGUAUCCGGCCUGAGAGGGCGCACGGACACACUGGAACUGAAACACGGUCCAGACUCCUACGGGAGGCAGCAGUGGGGUAUUUUGCGCAAUGGGGGAAACCCUGACGCAGCAACGCCGCGUGGAG
This 269-nucleotide ribosomal RNA is filed under the name uncultured bacterium. RNAcentral describes it as "partial 16S ribosomal RNA". It matches the Rfam family "Bacterial small subunit ribosomal RNA", at positions 123 to 406 of the family's 1533-position model. The record is from RNAcentral.